RNAcentral lists this long non-coding RNA (6767 nucleotides) under Homo sapiens (human). Its description in RNAcentral is "HSALNT0023670". The record is from RNAcentral. Lineage: Eukaryota; Metazoa; Chordata; Mammalia; Primates; Hominidae.
CCUAUGUCCAAGAAAAUUAAGGAAUGCAGACACAAGGGUCGGGGUGGAGUCAAAGUUUAAUAAGCAAAAAAGAAAGCUUUCUGCAGCAGAGAGGGGAGUCCAAGUGGAUUGCCGGGUUACAGCUGAAUUUAAAAGCGUUUUAUAAGAAACUGCUCUCUUCCCUGUAACUGUUGGAAUAACUUUUCUUACCAGUAAAGCUGUCUGUGCAAUUCUUCUUCUCUUAUGCAGCUGUGGGUAUGUCUCUAGGCAAGCACAAAGCCCCACUUCUCUUGUUUGUAUAACUGUGGGUUUGUUUUAGGGGUGGGGCCGCUUUAUAGGGUUUGGGAAGAUAAUGGAAAAUUACAGUCAAAGGGGGUUGUUCUCUGGUGGGCAGGGGCGGGGGUCACAAGGUGCUCAGUGGGGGAGCUUCUGAGCCAGGAGAAGGAAAUUCACAGGGUUAAUCACUCAGUUAAGGUGGGGCAGGAACAAAUCACAAUGGUGGAAUAUCAUCAGUUAAGGCGUGGCAGGGCCUUUUCACUUCUUUUGUGAUUCUUCAGUUACUUCAGGCCAUCUGGGCGUAUACAUGCAAGUCACAGGGGAUGCGAUGGCUUGGCUUGGGCUCAGAGACCUGACAUUCCUGCCUUCUGAUAUUAAUAAGAAAAAUAAAACAAAAUAGUGUUGAAGUGUUGGGGUGGCAAAAAUUUUUGGGGGGUGGUAUGGAGAGAGAAUGGGCGAUGUUUCUCAGGGCUGCUUCAAGCGGGAUUAGGGGCAGCGUGGGAACCUAGAGUGGGAGAGAUUAAGCUGAAGGGAGGUCUUGUGGUAAGGGGUGAUAUUGUGGGGAUGUUAGAAGAGACAUUUCUUGUAUAGAAUGAUUGGUGAUGGCCUGGAUACGGUUUUGGAUGAAUUGAGAAACUAAAUGGAAGAUACAAGGUCCGAAUAAAAGAAGGAGAAAAAUGGGUAUUAAAGGACUAAGAAUUGGGAGGCCCUAGGACAUCCAAUUAGAGAGUGCCUAAGGGGUUCAGCAUAAUUACUUGCUUGGUUGGCAAGUUUUUGGGCUCUAUCCUUGAGUUUUUUUAUGUUGUCAUACACCAGGCCAGAUUGAUUUAGGUAAAAACAACACUCUUCAUUUAAGAAUAUGCAGAGUCCUCCUUUUUCAGCAGUGAGUAAGUCAAGGCCUCGGCGGUUUUGGAGGACAACUGCAGCUAAAGAGUCAACUUGGAGUACUGAUAAAGUUUGUGACAUGUCUGUGAUGCUAGCAGAGAAGUCAUUAGAGAGGCUACGGAAGGUCGAGACAGAAGUUGAAAUGCCUGCUAUUCCAGUACUGAGAGCAAUAGUGGAGGCAGAAAGUCCUAAACCGACCAUCAAGGGAAUUAGUGGAAUAACUCUUCUUUGUCAUGUCGGUGUCAUGAGGGGAACAGGGAGCUCUUCGGUCCUAUUUGCAAAUUGAAUUUUGGGGGAAAGGAAGACUAGUGUGCAUGUGCCUGUCCAAUUAGCAGGUAGACACAUGUAGGUAGAGGAACCACAGAGGAAGAAGAGACCUUGUGCAAGGCAAAACUGGAGAUGUAAAGUAAAAAGAUGAGAAGGAGUGCUGAAAGGGGUGUCUUGUACCUAGAGUCCUAGGGAUCCAGCUAGGGCGGCAGCUGUCAGAGGUUGUAAUGGGGACUGAUGGGGUAACUGCGUAGAGGGGGAGGUUCAAUUUUCAUGGUGUAUGAGAAAACAUUGAGUAUCUAUGAGCAACCUUUCACUGUUAUUUUCGGGGCUGGAUAUAAGUAAACAAGAAUAGGGCCUGGGAGGAGAGUCUGAUGAGCAAGGGGAAGGUAGCCAAGGAUGGAGUUCAAUACAGGGUAAGUGUCUUCCUAAGCAAUAAUUACUGCUAACAUUUUUAAGUUUAUCAGUAUUGAUAGAGGGCUUGUCUGUAAUAUGGAGCUGGAAGGCUCCAAUUGUUUCAGUGAUGUGUGUAAUUGGGCUUCGGAGAUGAAGAGUAAAGGAACAUCGAGAGGGUGAAAGAUUACCUAGGGGAAUUCCAGUGGGUCUUUGCUGAGAGAUACAUAAAGGAGCGGCCACAGGAAUAGUAGUUUGUGUUGUGAGAGGUCCGAAUAUGGGGGGAGUAGAGUUAAUAUAAGGAGAAAGGUUUUUUAAAUAAGUGCGAAGGAGGGCGGCAGCUUGCUGAUGUGAAAUGUCUGGGGAAGUCUUGCUGGACCUGUCUAGAGAGUAAAUGAGUUCUUCAGGAGGGUAAAGAUGAGGGCUGCUAAAGGAAGUUCAGAGGUGUAGGGAGACGGGAGAUAUUGCCCAGUCUGUCUGUAAGGCGGGGACAGCUGUGUAGGCACUGGAAGAAAGGGAAAUGCAAAGCCAGCAGUUGUUCACUAAGGAGGGACUAGAAGUGGCUAGGAGAGAAUGGGUAAGGUUGAUAGUGUGGUGGAGAUAGCUGGGGAGAGGUAGAGGGUGGCAUAAGAAUGGGAACGAGAAUAAGAGUGAGUAUAAAAGUAAAGAAUAGAACUUCAUCAGGGUGGAAGUAUUGGAGGGUGCCUUGCCAGCAAAGAUCAUCUACCCACUCUAAGAGGGAGUUAAGAGUGGCAGUUUGGGGUUAGCACCAAGAGAUAUCAGCUGUGAUGGCUUGAAGAAACAGUGUAAACCGGCGGUGUAAAGAAGAGUAGGGCAUUUAUAAGUAGUUGAGAAUGGAGAAUAGGAGUAUGACCAGACAGAAGAUAGUAGGGAUGACUAGUUUUUUUGGGCUCGGCCUAAGUGGUUGGGGUGACUUCGUAAAGCCCUGUUGCAAAAAGUAGGGUAAGGACGAACAGACCUAAUAGAAUGAAGGGAUGUAUUAGGCUCAUAAGGGUUAUUACUGCUCUUCAGAAAUAUGAGUGAGUUUAAGGGAAGUAGGGGAGAGUACUUGCGGCUUCCAGGAGGAAGAGGAGGGAUUAGGCUGGCUGUCCGAUGGACACAGCUUUAUUCUGGAAUGGUGAACCUAGUGGGGAGGAUCCUGCAGGCAGACGGCAGUCGGGGUACUAUAGAAGACGAGGUAGCAUCCGGUCCAUCGAGGUUGUAGAGUUUGAGGGGUCAGAUUCUUAACAAGAACUGAUCAUCCAGCUAGGAUGUCUCCAUAUGGCUGGGGAUCUGGAGUAGGCAAGAGAAGAUUAGCAGCCUGGUGAAUUUCCUGUCUAGCCUGCUGGAGGACUGGAAGAUAGUCACCUAGAGGGCUGGUGUCUGGGAUGAGGUUGGGGCCAAGCAAGAAAGUGUGUCCAUAUAAAAGUUCAAAUGGACCGUACCCUGUAGCAUCUCAAGGACAGGCUCUAAUUCUGAGAAGAGCAAGAGGUAAAAGUACUGUCCAAUCCUUUUUAAGUUGGAGGCUGAGCUUGGUGAGGUUUACCUUUAAAAGACCAUUAGUCCAUUCUACCUUUCCUGAAGAUUGAGGAUGGUAAGGGAUAUGAAGGUUCCACUGAAUACCAAGAGCCUGAGAAACUGCUUGGGUGAUUUGACUAGUAAAGGCUGGUCUGUCAUCAGACUGUAUAGAGGUGGGAAGCCUAAACUGAGGAAUUAUGUCUGACAGAGGGGAAGAAAUGACUGUGGUGGCCUUCUCAGACCCUGUAGGAAAGGCCUCUACUUAUCUAGUGAAAGUGUCUACUUAGACUAAGAGGUAUUUUAGUUAUCUGACUUGGGGCAUGUUGAGUGAAGCUAAUUUGCCAGUCCUGGGUGGGGGCAAAACCUUGAGCUUGAUGUGUAGGGAAGGGAGGGGGCCUGAAUAAUCCUUGAGGAGUAGUAGAAUAGCAGAUAGAAUAGCAGAUGGAACACUUGAGAAGUUAUUUCCUUGAGGAUAGAUUUCUACAAUGGAAAGGAAAUGAAAGGUUCAAAGAGGCGGGCUAGUGGCUUGUACUAUAGCAUAGCCUGCCUUUGCUGAUGUGUGGUGAUUAGGCCUGGUGGAACUGCCAUCAAUAAAUCAAGCGUGAUCAGGGUGAGAAACAGGGAAGAAGGAAAUGUGGGGAAAUAGGAUGAACAUCAGGUGGAUCAGAGAGAUGCAAUCAUGAGGGUCAGGUGUGGUAUCAGGAAUACUGUGGGAGGCUGGAUUGAAGUCCAGGCCAGGAACAAUGGUAAUUGUGGGACUUAACAAAGAGUGAGUACAGCUGAAGGAGCUGGGGAACAGAAAGUAUAUGCGUCAGGUAUGAGGAAGAAAAUAGAUUUUGGAAGUUAUGAGAAAUGUAGAGAGUGAGUUGAGCAUUGUUUGUGAUUUUUAGGGCCUCUAAAAUUAUUAAAGCAGCAGCAGCUGCUGCACACAGACAUGAGGGCUAGGCUAAAACAGUAAGGUCAAGUUGUUUCGACAGAAAGGCUACAGGGUGCGGUCCUGGCUCUUGUGUAAGAAUUCUGACGGCACUAACCAUGCCUAGGAAGGAAAGGAGUUGUUGUUUUGUAAGGGAUUGAGGUUUGGGAGAUUAAUUGGACAUGAUCAGCAGGGAGAGCAUGUGUGUUUUUAUGAGAAUUAUGCAGAGAUAGGUAACAGAUGGAGAAGAAAUUUGAGCUUUGGAGGGGGAUACCUGAUAUCCUUUGGAGAAUAAAUGCUGAAGAAGCAGAAGUGUGUCUUGUUGAGAAGAUUCAAAGGAGGGGCUACAAAGAAGAAGGUCAUCAAUAUAUUGAAUAAGGUGAGAAGCAGAGGGGUGGAAAGAAAGUAGAUCAUGAGAAAGAGCUUGGCUGAAGUAAAUGAGGGCUGUCCCUGAAACCUUGCGGCAGCACAGCCCAGAUGUUUGUUAUGAGGAUGGUUGCAGCUCUGUUCCUGGAGGAACAUGGGGAAAUAUCGGAAACUUCCCUGGGCCCAAGCAGAGGAACAGAGGACCCUGAGUGAACAACAGAGAAGAAAUGUGUUUCCUUCCUGUAUCUUCUGUGUAGCGAAGGGCAUCACCACUCAUCAGUUGACAAAGCCAGACAGAAGUGAAAGUACUUGUUGAAUGAGUUCUUGAUUCUUCUUUUACACACCUACUGAAUCACUGAGGUUUUGACAUAAUUUGGUGUCAGAAGUAGAAUUGAAGCUGGUUAGUUGGACAGAUGGACAACCCCUGAAAUUGAGUGAAUUGCCUGUGCUGAGCCCUUUUGAGCUCUCCACCUCCGUGGCUGACCUUUUCUACCCUGCUGAAUCUCCUCUCAGAUUCCUGGACUCCUUUUUGGGCUAAGGAAUUGGGUUACUUUGUGCCCCGCCUCUGCCCGCAGGGAAGACCAUUCCUGGAUUUACCCUUCGAGGGAGCAGUAGAAGCGGAUCUGGCAUGAAGUGGGGGACACAACUCCCCUUAUGCUCCCAGCACAUCUCCUGGGCUGAGGCCAUCUCAGAUUGGAAGACCAGCUUUCCAAAGCAAGUCUCCUCCACAUCAUGAAGGAGAAAAAGGUGAAACAUUUGAUGUCCUGAUGGUAAUAGGAUCACAGGCUCUAAAACAUGAGGGAGGUGGGGCUGGACAAAGUCUUUAGGAGACUGCUGAAUUGUUGACUUUAUUCCAAGUCAGGAUCCCGAGUAAUCACUGAGCCUCAGUAUAAUUAUAUGCACAUGAGAAGCUAUUUAUUUCUUGCAUUCUGCUUAUCUUUGCCAAGAAAACACUCCUCCCCCAUGCCUUAAAAUGCCCAGAGACAUGGUUCUGGAUGAGCCACUUGGAGGGCUAAGGGCACCUGCUGGCUGAGGCCCAUGAGAACACACCAGCCCUGUGGGGAAAGUGUGGAGCUCAUGUACCCACUGCCCUUUCCCUGCUCAGAGCAGGGCAUCCCGACAGCAGCUAUGAAUGCACCUGCUCUGAGCAUCUCCCCGCCAGGCUCUGUGCACUCCAUCAGGGUCCUCUUCUGAGCCUGGCACUGCUCACCUGGGCAGAGAGUCCACUCAAGCCCCAGAGUCCUUGGCUUCAUUGGAAGUUCCUCCUGGGAGCAUCAACACAGCCCUUUCCCCCGUAUCCACUGGCUUUUGGGGAGCUGGGCCUGGGAAGCCCUUUUCUCUCCCUACGCUGUAUUCAUCCUGCCAGCCAAGCUGGAGCCUCUGCAUUUUUUAGUCCAAUUAUUGGCAGCUGUACAGGUUUCCCAGAACACCUGGCCCUCCUCACCCUCAUUCUGUGGCAUUAUUUAAUCAAACUGGCUAGGAGUAUUUAUAGCUCCCCUGAAAGGCAGCAGCCGCUCCAUUCCCGGGAAAGUGGAACAUUGAGACAUUAAAGAGUAUUUUCAAAAGAAAAAAAGUCCUCUCACAGACUCAUGAUGUUGCCAUCCCAAUGUGUCUUCCAAAAAUAGGCCUCCCGGACAGCUCCUCGGUGCCACCAGCUCUCUCCUCUGUGUACUUGCCACCUGCCAGGCUCAGAGUGAGAAAGCUACCUGCUACUGUUCCCAAAUGGUCAGUUCUAAUUCUCCAGCCCUCCUCCCAACCCAGAAAAUCCCAAUAUUCUUCCCUGGGUAGAUGUCCCUUUGAUUAAAAGAGAUGGAGCCAAGGGAAAUAACUAAAUCACAACUAAACAUUCCCUCUAGUGCAAGGAGUCAAUGAUUCUGGAUACUCUGCCACUCUGUUCUCCAUGGGAGCACCAAAGCCCAUCUUAAAUACAACCUCUUUCAUGCUUUAAGACUUAUGGAAGGAAGCCCAGGCCCAAUGAUUUGCUCAAAGUCCCAAAUGCUCUUUGGACUCAAGGCAUUCUGGUGGAGCAUCAGACAAAUGUGUGGCUCUUGGCCAAGAGCCAGGGAGCACAGAAAACUCUGAAGCUGGGGCAGGUGCAUGCUGGCUAGGCAGAAACAGUUACAGACCUUUGGAGAUGAAGAGCAACUGAGAAGGUAUGGUUGGAGAGCCU